GAGUUCAGCACUAAGUCACUUUGUCUUUAUGGCAAAUGUGAGAUGCAGUGUAUGGAAUGUCAAAUUUCUAGUAUGAGAAAUUAACGAUUUAAGUCCUUCUUAAAUGAGGCCAUUUACCCAAAGAGGGUGCCAGGCCCGUAUAACGUUAAUGAUUACUAGAUGGCAUUUCCAAAGAGUCGUGUUGCUUGAUAGUGCAGCACUAAGUGGGUGGUAAACUCCAUCUAAAACUAAAUAUAACCAUGAGACCGAUAGUAAACAAGUACCGUGAGGGAAAGUUGAAAAGAACUCUGAAUAGAGAGUUAAAUAGUACGUGAAACUGCUUAGAGGUUAAGCCCGAUGAACCUGAAUAUCCGUUAUGGAAAAUUCAUCAUUAUGAUUUUAAUAUUUAUAAUAUUAUAAUAAUGGUGUGCAUUUUUUCUAUAAAGGACAUUGUAAUCUAUUAACAUACAAAUAUUUAUCAUAAGAUCAAGGGCGUAAGUUUAUUCAAAUUAUUUUGCUUGCAAUUUAACAUAGAAUAAAUGUCUUUGAUUUGAUAAAGUGUUGAUAGAUUUAUUAUAUAUAGUGCUUAAAUAUUUAUAUUUUAUAAUAGCAUAUUAAUCAUUGAUUUUUAUGUUUAUUAUAUGCACUUAUAUGAUUAACAAUGCGAAAGAUUCAGGAUACCUUCGGGACCCGUCUUGAAACACGGACCAAGGAGUCUAACAUAUUUGCAAGUUAUUGGGAAUAAAAACCUAAUAGCGAAAUUAACAUAACUUAUUAAUGGGAUUAGUUUUUAGCCUAUUUAUAGUCUAUUAAUUCAAUCCCGGGGCGUUCUAUCAGUUAUGUAUAAUAAUAUUUAUAUUAUUUAUACCUCUAACUAGAGCGUACCUUGAGCAUAUAUGCUGUGACCCGAAAGAUGGUGAACUAUACUUGAUCAGGUUGAAGUCAGGGGAAACCCUGAUGGAAGACCGAAACAGUUCUGACGUGCAAAUCGA
Molecule: ribosomal RNA, 971 nt
Filed under: Chrysomya megacephala (oriental latrine fly)
Lineage: Eukaryota; Metazoa; Arthropoda; Insecta; Diptera; Calliphoridae
Description: eukaryotic LSU rRNA
Rfam family: Eukaryotic large subunit ribosomal RNA
Source: RNAcentral